AGCUCUCACCCCGAGAGUGGUAAGGACCAGGAGCUGAAGAAGAGACAUCUCCGGGGUGAGUGAUUCUGCAAGGACUCUGUGCCAUCUACGGGAAAGACCAGGGAUGAAAAGCUCCUCUGGGAGUUUUCUCCAGCUGCUCCACCAAAGCCAGCCAAGGGUUCUGCAGGACUAUCCUCCCCAACUCCCAGCCUCCGCGUCAACCUUGACUCACCAGGGCCAGCAGGGCUCCCGGGGUCCUGGAGGAGAAGCCACUGUUCUUGGAUGCAUCUCAGUUGUGCAGCUCAGCUCAAUACAAUCAAACUAGACGGCCUAGGGAAUAGAUUCCAAGAAAGCUAACUGACCACCAUCACACACACUUGUGUCCAUUCCAAAAUUUCAGGAACAAGAAAAAGGAUUGCUUAGGAAGGCGCCCAUCACGGGAUCAUUAACUGAAUAGGCCUUCUCAUCAGAUGGUGUUGCCAAGAAACAUUCCCUAUGGCAACACUUCUCCACCCCAUCACUGGAAUUAGACCUGUUUCUUCAACACAGGCCUCAGUUCACAUAUCUAUAGGAAGGAGAUUGGGCCAGAUGAUUUUCUAAGGAACCAUCGACUGCACCGUGAUCUGUGACCUAAAUAGCCAAGGUUUCUGUUAAUGGAUUUAAGCCCCACUCCGGCGUUCACCACUCAGUGCUGCGGGCCCUUUGCCCUGGAGCUCCUCCCACAGAGUCCUGCCAGGCCUCUAGAAUUUACAGGUCUGGCUUGGCCGGUACAGCCAAGACUGUUCUCACAUGAGACAGAGAAGCCCACAUGCCGCCGAGCCCACACGCUCUUUGAUUGAUUUAGUUUGUAUAAACCUAAACCUGUACUGACUUCCAUCUCUUUUUAGCUUGAUUUAUUCUUUGAAUCUUUUAUUCCUUUUUUUUUCACUCUUUUACUGUAUUUCCAUUGUCCUUGGUCUUCUUCAUCUUUUAGUUACUGUUUACACUGCUUUAUCUUCGUUCUUAUGAGGGUCUUACCAGGAUUCCAUUUGAUUUUAUUGUGUUAUCCUGCCUGUCGUUACUCUAAUUUUAAUUGCUUUCACAUUCUUUUUUAUUUUCUGGUCAAGUGACAUCGUGUUCUAUCUUUUCUGGUUGGCUAAGUUCUAUACCUGGAGAGCGUAGGAUGUCGUCUGCAGGCAGAACCCAGGGUCAAGCGCAAAAAGGGGAGUGUGCUCUCCUCCAGGGAGCUGCCAGUUAGUCUGUUCUGUGGGUCGCUUCUGAGCUGCUAGUAAGAAUUACUAGCAGUCUGCUCUCAGAGAAGGGAACCAAAUCCACC
This 1294-nucleotide long non-coding RNA is filed under the name Equus caballus (horse). RNAcentral's name for it is "lncRNA (ENSECAG00000043967.1)". The record is from RNAcentral. Lineage: Eukaryota; Metazoa; Chordata; Mammalia; Perissodactyla; Equidae.